Molecule: ribosomal RNA, 497 nt
Filed under: uncultured bacterium
Lineage: Bacteria
Description: partial 16S ribosomal RNA
Rfam family: Bacterial small subunit ribosomal RNA
Source: RNAcentral
GAUGAACGCUGGCGGCGUGCCUAAUACAUGCAAGUCGAGCGAACGGACGAGAAGCUUGCUUUUCUGAUGUUAGCGGCGGACGGGUGAGUAACACGUGGAUAACCUACCUAUAAGACUGGGAUAACUUCGGGAAACCGGAGCUAAUACCGGAUAAUAUUUUGAACCGCAGGGUUCAAAAGUGAAAGACGGUCUUGCUGUCACUUAUAGAUGGAUCCGCGCUGCAUUAGCUAGUUGGUAAGGUAACGGCUUACCAAGGCAACGAUGCAUAGCCGACCUGAGAGGGUGAUCGGCCACACUGGAACUGAGACACGGUCCAGACUCCUACGGGAGGCAGCAGUAGGGAAUCUUCCGCAAUGGGCGAAAGCCUGACGGAGCAACGCCGCGUGAGUGAUGAAGGUCUUCGGAUCGUAAAACUCUGUUAUUAGGGAAGAACAUAUGUGUAAGUAACUGUGCACAUCUUGACGGUACCUAAUCAGAAAGCCACGGCUAACUACGUG